Molecule: long non-coding RNA, 792 nt
Organism: Chelonia mydas (Green sea turtle)
Lineage: Eukaryota; Metazoa; Chordata; Testudines; Cheloniidae
Exons: 4
Source: RefSeq, a predicted model, not a curated record
AUAUUCGGAAGACAUUUGAACACUGAGGCUCUCCUUUGUCCAUCAAUCUAUCCUUCACUCCAUGCUUCAUGGGAAGGAAUGGAAGAGGGAACCCACCCAUUCCAAUAAUGGAAAAACUCCUUUCCACUGUCUCACUUUGAGAGAUGGAAGAAAGGGAACCCAGGCCUACAAGGCAUAGUGAGUAGAAGCAGAGCACACAGGACUCGAGCACUAUGUGAGAUGGAGCACUGUUGUGAAAUGAAGUAAGAAGAGACAGAAUAGAUUAUCUAAAUGGUCUGCUCAAGGACAACAAUAUUUGACCACCACAUUUAACACUUAGAGCUGACAUUCCCCAUCUGCCACAAACUAGGUAAAGCAAGUGAAGCAGCAGUUCAAGCUUCCUUUGCACUCUUCCAUCCAUGUGGAGGCAUCAUCGACAAAGCAAGAAGAAUUUAACGGAAACCAACAGAAGUCACAUGCGUGGAACAAGUGCAGAAUAUGCAUUGAAGAUCUGCAUUGAAGAGGAGAACUCCACAGUGUUGGUCAGAAUGGAGAAUAUUGCCUACAGACUGGAAGUAUCAUUUGAUGGCAAAGAUUUUAUACAGUGGUGAACUUUCUGCUUAACUCAAAGCCUACUUUUUGCCUUUGAAGCCUUUCUUGAUUUUAUUUUAUUCCUUUGUCCUGCCUGUAGCUAUUUCAGUUUUUCUUUGAUUGACACCAGCUAAAUCACAUCUGUGUCAUCAUCAGGUUGAACAGUAAACAGAAAAAAGGCGACAAGCACUUUGGAAACAUUAAACAGUUUUGUUUUUUUUU